Molecule: ribosomal RNA, 240 nt
Filed under: uncultured bacterium
Lineage: Bacteria
Description: partial 16S ribosomal RNA
Rfam family: Bacterial small subunit ribosomal RNA
Source: RNAcentral
CGCGUGAGCAAUCUGCCUUUGGAUGGGGGAUAACAGCCGGAAACGACUGCUAAUACCGCAUGAUGCAGCGGGGUCGCAUGAUUUUGCUGCCAAAGAUUUAUCGUCCAAAGAUGAGCUCGCGUCUGAUUAGCCAGUUGGCGGGGUAACGGCCCACCAAAGCGACGAUCAGUAGCCGGACUGAGAGGUUGAACGGCCACAUUGGGACUGAGACACGGCCCAGACUCCUACGGAAGGCAGCAG